GAUGAACGCUGGCGGCGUGCCUAAUACAUGCAAGUCGAGCGAACGGACGAGAAGCUUGCUUCUCUGAUGUUAGCGGCGGACGGGUGAGUAACACGUGGAUCACCUACCUAUAAGACUGGGAUAACUUCGGGAAACCGGAGCUAAUAACGGAUAAUAUCUUGAACCGCAUGGUUCAAAAGUGAAAGAUGGUCUUGCUGUUACUUAUAGAUGGAUCCGCGCUGCAUUAGCUAGUUGGUAAGGUAACGGCUUACCAAGGCAACGAUGCAUAGCCGACCUGAGAGGGUGAUCGGCCACACUGGAACUGAGACACGGUCCAGACUCCUACGGGAGGCAGCAGUAGGGAAUCUUCGGCAAUGGGCGAAAGCCUGACGGAGCAACGCCGCGUGAGUGAUGAAGGUCUUCGGAUCGUAAAACUCUGUUGUUAGGGAAGAACAUAUGUGUAAGUAACUGUGCACAUCUUGACGGUACCUAAUCAGAAAGCCACGGCUAACUACGUG
Molecule: ribosomal RNA, 497 nt
Filed under: uncultured bacterium
Lineage: Bacteria
Description: partial 16S ribosomal RNA
Rfam family: Bacterial small subunit ribosomal RNA
Source: RNAcentral